UACAUAUUAACGAAUGCAGUUGUGUGCUCC
Molecule: non-coding RNA, 30 nt
Filed under: Rattus norvegicus (Norway rat)
Lineage: Eukaryota; Metazoa; Chordata; Mammalia; Rodentia; Muridae
Source: RNAcentral